This is a long non-coding RNA of Rosa rugosa (rugosa rose), 1882 nucleotides long. RefSeq lists it as uncharacterized. The transcript is spliced from 10 exons. The record is from RefSeq and is a predicted model, not a curated record. NCBI's taxonomy places the organism in Eukaryota, Viridiplantae, Streptophyta, Magnoliopsida, Rosales, Rosaceae.
UUUAACCUUUUGAAUACUGUUCUCUUCCGCAGAAACCCUAUCUAUCUCGCUCUCCCUUAGGCACAGAAGAAACCAGCAGCCCCAACUCAAGACACAUACACUCAGCUUUCUCUCUCAAACCGAAAUUUCAUUUCUUACCCAAAUUCAUUCUACAGAGCAAGAGAGCCAAACAUGUCGAUCGAAAUACCCAAAGGGCUCCCCUUUUCAGUUGAUACAUGGAGUUCUUCUUCAAAGAGAAAGAGGCACCAUUUCUUAACUCACGCCCACAAAGACCACUCCACUGGGAUUUCCUCCCACUUUUCUUACCCGAUUUACUCAACCCAACUCACCAAAACCGUCCUUCAACACUACCUCAAGCUUGAUGAAUCUUUGUUUGUGGGCAUUAAAGUUGGGCAAUCUGUAGCUAUUGAUGAACCGGAUGGAGCCUUCACUGAUACGGCUUUCGAUGCCAAUCAAUGUCCUGUCCUUGACCAUUCUUUAGCUGAGGUUAGAAGUUGCUCCGAUUUUGGUCAAAUUAAAAACCCAAGCUUAAGCCCUUCGAUUUUGGACCCAGAAGCAAAAGCACUCUCAGACACUGAGACGAAGCAAUGGAGGAUAAAACUGAGUCUGUUUCAUUCAACAAGAGAAGAGCAGAGGCUCGUAUAAAUUUUUAUGCAUGUUGUUGGUGCAAAUAAAAGGUGGAGUGGUGGAUGUGGAGGAAGGCAAUAGACGUUUUGUUUCUUUCUCAAAAUCGAUCAUCUGUGUAACAGGUAAGUCUUGUUACACUUGCAUCUUCACUGAAAAUUUAGUGCACCAUAUAUAUUGUAGUCAGUGAAGCCCUUGUCAGUGGAUCAAAUAAAGGCAGUCUUUACUGAGGAGCAUACAUAAGCCAAGGACGAGACCUAUGACACAUACCUUCUACCACCUAGUGAAGAUCCAGAAUCUUGCCAAUCAUAUCUUAGGAUGCAGGAUAAAGAUGGGAAAUAUAUGCUCUACGAAGCUGGUUAGCUUAAGUAGAAAGAAACAAAUGGUGCACUUGUUUUUCUAUAGUGGUACCCUUAUAAGCUUGGACAUGCAUGUUGCAGUCACAGUGGAAACUGCCAAUAUGUUAUAAUGGACCACAAAUAAUGAUAGAGGGAUUGAUCGGACUAGUGCAUUCUACUAAAGCCUCUUCAAGAACCAGAGAAGAUGACCAAUAUUAUUCUUCAAGCUCUGAAAAUUACUGGACAAAGAGGCAUUAUCAACAAAGGUUGGGGUUGGUAAUUUACAAUCAAAUGAUUCUAUGUACUUAGUGGACAAUUGCCCCCAUGAUGACUCUUCCUCGGAUGCUCUGUUGUGGUUAGGAACGUUACCAUAGCCUGACUCCCAUGUAUUACUGCGGUGCAGCUGUUGGUCUAUGAUAUCACAAGCAUGGAGUCAUUUGUUUUUAGCAAGCUAAGAAGUGGGUUUUUGAAUUGCAAAGACAAGCAAAUCCAACUUUAAUAAUGUUCUUGGCUGGAAACAAGGCUGACUUGGAAGAGAAGAGAAAAGUAGGGACUGAGAAAAGUAGUCCUCUCUUAGGAAGCAGAGAUCUAUCCGGGCAGAAAUGGUUAGGAAGUAGAGACAAUACGUAGUCUGCAGAAGGCAAGUAGAAAACAAGUAGUGAAGUCUUUGACCAUUGCGCAAUAGAUACACUGUUGAUUUCUCGUGGGACAAGUACACUCUUCAUGAAGGACCUUUUGAGGAGGUUGGAGCAACGUGCUAAAACUUUUAUCAAUGGGGUAGAUUAGUUUAUGAUGAUGUUAACAAACUAUAUUUCAUGGUUUGAUUAUGACUUUCAUCAUUGGGAUAUAUGAUAAUACAUUGGAAGUUAUGUCUUUUUAAAUAAUAUCAAACAUUAAUAGAAAGUUGCCAACAACUAUGG